UCCCAGGUGUCUCAGCAGGUAAAGAAUCUGCCUGCAGUUCAGGAGACUCGGGUUCAUUCCCUGGCCUGGGAA
This 72-nucleotide transfer RNA is filed under the name Bos taurus (domestic cattle). It matches the Rfam family "tRNA". Rfam says of the family: Transfer RNA (tRNA) molecules are approximately 80 nucleotides in length. Their secondary structure includes four short double-helical elements and three loops (D, anti-codon, and T loops). The record is from Rfam by way of RNAcentral. RNAcentral also lists the same sequence under 3 other names. Lineage: Eukaryota; Metazoa; Chordata; Mammalia; Artiodactyla; Bovidae.